GACAGAGGCCCCAAGCGUUAGGCGGAAUCACUGGGCUUAAAGCGUGUGUAGGCGGACGCCUAAGUGUCUUGUGAAAUCCCCCGGCUCAACCGGGGAAGGGGCGCCGAUACGACCGUCCUGGAGGAACGUAGGGGGAGCUGGAACUUCCGGUGGAGCGGUGAAAUGCGUUGAGAUCGGAAGGAACGCCCGUGGCGAAAGCGAGCUCCUGGACGUUUUCUGACGCUGAGACGCGAAAGCCAGGGGAGCGAACGGG
This 253-nucleotide ribosomal RNA is filed under the name uncultured bacterium. Its description in RNAcentral is "partial 16S ribosomal RNA". It matches the Rfam family "Bacterial small subunit ribosomal RNA", at positions 524 to 776 of the family's 1533-position model. The record is from RNAcentral.